GGGGCGGCGACGCGGCCGCGGGCUCCGGCAAGGCGCCGGGCCAGGCCGACGACGUCGACCCUGACCUCAUCCCGGACAAGUUCGAACCUCAAGAAGACAGUGAGUGUGUUCCGCUGAGGGACAUGUCUCCCGCUCUUACGUCUUACCAGAACCACUGUUUGACCAACACCUGGAGGAUAUCACACGAUCAGCAGGCGAGCCAGGCGCGGCUGUCGGCGGCCC
Molecule: long non-coding RNA, 222 nt
Organism: Schistocerca serialis cubense
Lineage: Eukaryota; Metazoa; Arthropoda; Insecta; Orthoptera; Acrididae
Exons: 3
Source: RefSeq, a predicted model, not a curated record